GAGGGUAGAGCUCCGUGGUAGAGUGCAUGUUUAGAAUGCACGAAGUCGUGGGUUCAAUCCCCAGUCCCUUCA
Molecule: transfer RNA, 72 nt
Filed under: Camelus bactrianus (Bactrian camel)
Lineage: Eukaryota; Metazoa; Chordata; Mammalia; Artiodactyla; Camelidae
Also listed under: 2 other names
Rfam family: tRNA
About the family: Transfer RNA (tRNA) molecules are approximately 80 nucleotides in length. Their secondary structure includes four short double-helical elements and three loops (D, anti-codon, and T loops).
Source: Rfam by way of RNAcentral